UACGGAGGAUGCAAGCGUUAUCCGGAAUUAUUGGGCGUAAAGCGUCCGCAGGUGGCCCAUCAAGUCUGCUGUCAAAGACGGAAGCUCAACUUCUGGCAGGCAGUGGAAACUGGUAGGCUAGAGUACGGUAGGGGUAGAGGGAAUUUCCAGUGUAGCGGUGAAAUGCGUAGAGAUUGGAAAGAACACCAGUGGCGAAGGCGCUCUACUGGGCCGUAACUGACACUCAGGGACGAAAGCUAGGGGAGAGAAAGGG
This 253-nucleotide ribosomal RNA is filed under the name uncultured bacterium. RNAcentral describes it as "partial 16S ribosomal RNA". It matches the Rfam family "Bacterial small subunit ribosomal RNA", at positions 524 to 776 of the family's 1533-position model. The record is from RNAcentral.